UGGGGAAUAUUGGACAAUGGGCGCAAGCCUGAUCCAGCCAUGCCGCGUGAGUGAUGAAGGCCCUAGGGUUGUAAAGCUCUUUCACCGGUGAAGAUAAUGACGGUAACCGGAGAAGAAGCCCCGGCUAACUUCGUGCCAGCAGCCGCGGUAAUACGAAGGGGGCUAGCGUUGUUCGGAUUUACUGGGCGUAAAGCGCACGUAGGCGGACUAUUAAGUCAGGGGUGAAAUCCCGGGGCUCAACCCCGGAACUGCCUUUGAUACUGGUAGUCUUGAGUGCGAGAGAGGUGAGUGGAAUUCCGAGUGUAGAGGUGAAAUUCGUAGAUAUUCGGAGGAACACCAGUGGCGAAGGCGGCUCACUGGCUCGAUACUGACGCUGAGGUGCGAAAGCGUGGGGAGAAAACAGG
RNAcentral lists this ribosomal RNA (404 nucleotides) under Actinomycetes bacterium. Its description in RNAcentral is "Actinobacteria bacterium partial 16S ribosomal RNA". It matches the Rfam family "Bacterial small subunit ribosomal RNA", at positions 355 to 776 of the family's 1533-position model. Lineage: Bacteria; Bacillati; Actinomycetota; Actinomycetes. The record is from RNAcentral.